AGUGAACGCUGGCGGUAGGCCUAACACAUGCAAGUCGAACGGCAGCACAGUAAGAGCUUGCUCUUACGGGUGGCGAGUGGCGGACGGGUGAGGAAUACAUCGGAAUCUACUUUUUCGUGGGGGAUAACGUAGGGAAACUUACGCUAAUACCGCAUAUGACCUACGGGUGAAAGCAGGGGAUCUUCGGACCUUGCGCGAUUGAAUGAGCCGAUGUCGGAUUAGCUAGUUGGCGGGGUAAAGGCCCACCAAGGCGACGAUCCGUAGCUGGUCUGAGAGGAUGAUCAGCCACCCUGGAACUGAGACACGGUCCAGACUCCUACGGGAGGCAGCAGUGGGGAAUAUUGGGCAAUGGGCGCAAGCCUGAUCCAGCCAUACCGCGUGAGUGAUGAAGGACUUCGGGUUGUAAAGCGCUGUUGUUGGGAAAGAAGAACAGCAGGUUAAUACCCGACUGUUCUGACGGUACCCAAAGAAUAAGCACCGGCUAACUUCGUG
RNAcentral lists this ribosomal RNA (492 nucleotides) under uncultured bacterium. RNAcentral's name for it is "partial 16S ribosomal RNA". It matches the Rfam family "Bacterial small subunit ribosomal RNA", at positions 29 to 507 of the family's 1533-position model. The record is from RNAcentral.